Onthophagus taurus is the source of this 204-nucleotide non-coding RNA. The record is from RefSeq and is a predicted model, not a curated record. Lineage: Eukaryota; Metazoa; Arthropoda; Insecta; Coleoptera; Scarabaeidae.
AAAAUUGCCAUCAAAAUCACUUGGCAUGUUUCCAAAAUUGCAGACCACACUUUGAAGUUGUUUGCCCAAAGUGCCAAUUUCAUAUGCCGUGUCACCAAACUUGUUCUCAUUUUAUGAACACAAUGUGCCAAAAUUGUGGUGGUCACCUUCCUUGUGCUUCAUCGUGCAAUGCACAUUACAACUCAUUGUGUCAACGUUGCCAAC